CAGCGCUGUCCGGCCCUCGGCCGCUGGCCCUGCAGGGAGAAAACCGGGCAGUGGCCAGGAAUCCGAGUGUGCAGCGGCCAAGGUCAGAGUGUGGGCACUCACAUCUUCCCCGCGCCUCCCGCUAGCUCUGCUGCUUCACCUCUCCGUGCCUCGGUUUCUCCACCUAGGUUACGGCAGUAACACCUCUUAACAGGUCUCCCAGCUGCCACUACUGCCCUCCUGGGGGCGGGCCCGCCCCGAAAGCCAUCAGAUCAUGAACCUCCUCUGCCCCGAACCCCGCUGCGCUCCCACCUCACUCGGAGCCCAGCCUGAAGCUCCACACGGCCAGGCCGGAGAAACCCAGCGCUGCAUGCGGAGUGCCUUGCACACACCAGUGGGGUGCCCCCCGCUGAGGGCACCCCCCAUUGUCCACGAUGACCCCCUCAGGAUGUUCCUCCAAGAGAAUGGUGGGAGCGUCAGGAGGCAGGGCAAGUUGGGGAGACUUUCUGUGCGGCUCUGGGAAAAUCUUCCUGGAUGGCACCAGCGCAAGCAUUUUCCAGACUUCUCAGAUAAGAAUUUGUCAAAAACAAAUUGCCAGGCGGGUCCCAGAAGCACUGAAUCAGCACCUCCAGGAAACAGACUAGGAAGCUGCGUUUUGACCCAGAGCCUCCGGGAAGUUGGGAAAUUCCCCACUGGCAGUGAACCUGGCUGAACUUCCGACAGCACCUGGAGAGCGGUGAAAAGCUGCGGGUGCCCAGGACCAGUCCAGAGAGCUGACCCCGCACAGUUGGUGUUUUCCGUAUUUUUCUAAACGUCCUGGGGAUUCUGAUGUAGCCACUUCAGGAGUGCCAUCUGGAAGGGACGGGGCUGGAUAAUUGAAGGAGACUUCUUGCUCUCACAUCCUAAGGGCAUUUGGGAUUGCAACCCCACAACUACAGCCGGCAGCUGACCCAUGGUGGGGACCUUGGUGGCUGAAACCAGCACCCCCCAGUGCCAGCAGCGAGUAUUGCAGGUUCCAGUCUAGAACGGCGCCGGGUGCAUCUGGCUGGUGGGGCAGCGCUGACCCUGCAGUGGGAUGGAAGGGAGCAGGGGCCAUGGCUGCAUCUGUGCUGAUGGAACCUGCAUUAUGAUCCAGCCCUUCACACGAGUUGACCCACAGCUCAUGCCAAAGAGAAAACAACAACCAGGUGAGUGUGUG
Molecule: long non-coding RNA, 1177 nt
Organism: Rhinolophus ferrumequinum (greater horseshoe bat)
Lineage: Eukaryota; Metazoa; Chordata; Mammalia; Chiroptera; Rhinolophidae
Exons: 3
Source: RefSeq, a predicted model, not a curated record